RNAcentral lists this ribosomal RNA (860 nucleotides) under Boletus edulis. RNAcentral's name for it is "eukaryotic LSU rRNA". It matches the Rfam family "Eukaryotic large subunit ribosomal RNA", at positions 67 to 915 of the family's 3401-position model. Lineage: Eukaryota; Fungi; Basidiomycota; Agaricomycetes; Boletales; Boletaceae. The record is from RNAcentral.
AACAAGGAUUCCCCUAGUAACUGCGAGUGAAGCGGGAAAAGCUCAAAUUUUGAAUCUGGCAGUCUUUGCAGGCCGUCCGAGUUGUAAUCUAGAGAAGCGUCUUCCGCGCCGGCCUGUGUACAAGUCUCCUGGAAGGGAGCGUCAUAGAGGGUGAGAAUCCCGUCUCUGACACGGACCACCGGUGCUAUGUGAUGCGCUCUCGACGAGUCGAGUUGUUUGGGAAUGCAGCUCAAAAAGGGUGGUAAACUCCAUCUAAAGCUAAAUAUUGGCGAGAGACCGAUAGCGAACAAGUACCGUGAGGGAAAGAUGAAAAGGACUCUGGAAAGAGAGUUAAACAGUACGUGAAAUUGCUGAAAGGGAAACGCUCGAUGUCAGUCGCGUCGGCUGGGGGUCAACCUUGCGGUUUCGCUGGGUGUAUUUCCUGGUCGACGGGUCAGCAUCAGUUUCGGUCGUCGUACAAGGGCCAAGGGAAAGUGGCACCCUUCCGGGGGUGUGUUAUAGCCUUUCGGUCGUAUGUGGCGGCUCGGGACUGAGGAGACUCGGUGUGGGCUUCGGCUUACACUAAAGAUGCUGGCAUAAUGGCCUUGAGCGACCCGUCUUGAAACACGGACCAAGGAGUCUAACAUGUCUGCGAGUGUUUGGGUGGCAAACCCGAUCGCGAAAUGAAAGUGAAAGUCGAGAUCUCCAUCCACGGAGUGCACCGACGCCCGGAUCCAUCGUCUUUGACAAUGGAUCUGCGGUAGAGCAUGCAUGUUGGGACCCGAAAGAUGGUGAACUAUGCCUGAAUAGGGUGAAGCCAGAGGAAACUCUGGUGGAGGCUCGUAGCGAUUCUGACGUGCAAAUCGAUCGUCGAAUUUGGG